AUUGAACGCUGGCGGCAUGCCUUACACAUGCAAGUCGAACGGCAGCACGGGAGCAAUCCUGGUGGCGAGUGGCGAACGGGUGAGUAAUAUAUCGGAACGUGCCCAGUCGUGGGGGAUAACGUAGCGAAAGCUACGCUAAUACCGCAUACGAUCUACGGAUGAAAGCGGGGGAUCGCAAGACCUCGCGCGAUUGGAGCGGCCGAUAUCAGAUUAGCUAGUUGGUGGGGUAAAAGCUCACCAAGGCGACGAUCUGUAGCUGGUCUGAGAGGACGACCAGCCACACUGGAACUGAGACACGAUCCAGACUCCUACGGGAGGCAGCAGUGGGGAAUUUUGGACAAUGGGCGCAAGCCUGAUCCAGCAAUGCCGCGUGCAGGAUGAAGGCCUUCGGGUUGUAAACUGCUUUUGUACGGAACGAAACGGUGAGCUCUAAUAAAGCUUGCUAAUGACGGUACCGUAAGAAUAAGCACCGGCUAACUACGUG
RNAcentral lists this ribosomal RNA (484 nucleotides) under uncultured bacterium. Its description in RNAcentral is "bacterial SSU rRNA". It matches the Rfam family "Bacterial small subunit ribosomal RNA", at positions 30 to 507 of the family's 1533-position model. The record is from RNAcentral.